AUGUCAACAAUUUUUUGGAGAGAGAAGAGGUACUCCCUUAUAGGGACUCGUAAAGACAUAGAGCAUCUAGAGAUUUACUGCCUCCAUUACGCUGCUGGCUCUCGCAGCACUUGUUAUGUUUUUAUCAGUUUCUCUCCAGAAGGCAGUUAUAUACGCCAAGAUACAAAUAAAAGAUCUGUUAAAGCAGGUAAGAAAUCUGUUGUUACUUUUUCACCUGUCCAAGAUUGUGACUUCUUUAAUUUUUUUUAUUUAAUCUUGCAAUAAUUUUAGAUUGUAGAAGAGUUGCAAAAAUAGUACAGAGCAUUCCAUAUAGCCUUUACCUAUCCUCCCGUAAUGUUAACACCCUGCAUAGUUAUCAUCCAAUUAUCAAGACUAAGAAAUUAAUACUAUUAAAAUAUUAAUAACCAAACCACAGAUUUAUCCUGAUUUCACUUUUUCCAUUUAUGUACUUUUUCUCCCCAAGAUGCAGUCCAGGAUCCCACAUUACAUUUUAGUUGUCAUGUCUCUUUAGUCUCCUCCUAUCUAUAAGAGUUCCUUAGUCUCUCCUUGAGGAUUUUCAACACCUUGACUAUAUUUAUUUUUG
RNAcentral lists this long non-coding RNA (583 nucleotides) under Vulpes vulpes (red fox). Its description in RNAcentral is "lncRNA (ENSVVUG00000010966.1)". Lineage: Eukaryota; Metazoa; Chordata; Mammalia; Carnivora; Canidae. The record is from RNAcentral.